AGUGAAGUCAUCUUAACAUGGAAUGGGAAUUAAAUCCUAACAACAAUCAUGUGAGCCUGGGGAGGAUCCUUCCCCACGUGAGCCUUCAGGGGAGACUUCAGCCUUGGCCAUCUUCUACAUCUAGAUUCCUGACCAAGAGAAGCUGUUUGGAAUAGUUCACCAGUGAAGUCAUCUCAACCAGCACAGGGCCUUGACUCCUAACAACAAUCACACGAACUUGGAAGAGGAGCCUUCCCCACCUGAACCUUCACUUGAGACCUCGUCCUUGGCCAUCCUCUACAUCUGGAUUCAUGAUACAGAGAAACUUGAGUAAUGAUGACAAUAGCAGUCCAGUGUGCAUGGAUGCUGACGUGGAUGCUGUCUCCCAUUCUUACCACUGGAUGGGAAGAAAUGAUAGAUGCAAUCCAGCCAUUGUGUUCUCGACUCUCAGUUCCAUCUUCUCAACUGACAUUGUCUUCCAAAGUCCGUGCCACACCACAGCCUGGAACAUCUCCCAAAGUGGUAUCUUGAUGCAAUGGUAGAGCUCAUGUCACAGUAUUGUAUGUCUCAGGUUUGAAUAACUCACCAGUGAAGUCAUCUUGACCUGGACAGAAAUUGAAUCCUCCCGAGAAUCCCAGGAGCUGGACCAUGAUCAUGGACUGCAUUCUCCAUACCAUGUUCAUAUCUUCAGUGGGAAAACAAACUCCUGAGUCCUGGAGACCUAGAAUGAGAGACACAGCUGACCUUGACCGUAUUUCUCACUUCUGAGAAGAUUGUAGCAGUAAUUCAGGUCUUUGUGGAAUCUCCACACUGCCUUCCACAAUGGUUGAACUAAUUUGGACGUCCACCAACGGUGUGUCAGAGAGGUUAAUCCUAAGAACAGUUACAUGAGCUUGGAAGGAGACCCUUCCCCAGCUGAGCCUUAGCCUGGACCAUCACCUACAUCUGGACUGAAGACCUAGAGAAACAACUCUAUCAGGAAUCACUUGGGACUGUGCAUUCUGUUGACACUCACUUUGUGGAAUUAAGUUGCCCACUGCCAACCCUAAAGCCACCAAGGUAGCAGAUGAGGUCUUGUUCUUUUGGCCAGGCUGGAGUGCAGUGGUACAGUCGUGACUCACUGCAGCUUCAAACACCUGGGUUCCAGCAUUCAUCCCACUUCAGCCUCCCGUGUAGCCGGGACUACAGGUACAA
Molecule: long non-coding RNA, 1173 nt
Filed under: Homo sapiens (human)
Lineage: Eukaryota; Metazoa; Chordata; Mammalia; Primates; Hominidae
Description: HSALNT0379844
Source: RNAcentral